This 1081-nucleotide ribosomal RNA is filed under the name Promicromonospora sp. Its description in RNAcentral is "bacterial SSU rRNA". It matches the Rfam family "Bacterial small subunit ribosomal RNA", at positions 320 to 1411 of the family's 1533-position model. The record is from RNAcentral. Lineage: Bacteria; Bacillati; Actinomycetota; Actinomycetes; Micrococcales; Promicromonosporaceae.
UGAGACACGGCCCAGACUCCUACGGGAGGCAGCAGUGGGGAAUAUUGCACAAUGGGCGAAAGCCUGAUGCAGCGACGCCACGUGAGGGAUGACGGCCUUCGGGUUGUAAACCUCUUUCAGCAGGGAAGAAGCGAAAGUGACGGUACCUGCAGAAGAAGCGCCGGCUAACUACGUGCCAGCAGCCGCGGUAAUACGUAGGGCGCAAGCGUUGUCCGGAAUUAUUGGGCGUAAAGAGCUCGUAGGCGGUCUGUCGCGUCUGGUGUGAAAUCCCAUGGCUCAACUGUGGGCUUGCAUCGGGUACGGGCAGACUAGAGUGCUGUAGGGGAGACUGGAAUUCCUGGUGUAGCGGUGGAAUGCGCAGAUAUCAGGAGGAACACCGAUGGCGAAGGCAGGUCUCUGGGCAGUUACUGACGCUGAGGAGCGAAAGCAUGGGGAGCGAACAGGAUUAGAUACCCUGGUAGUCCAUGCCGUAAACGUUGGGCACUAGGUGUGGGGCCAGUUCCACUGGUUCUGUGCCGCAGCUAACGCAUUAAGUGCCCCGCCUGGGGAGUACGGCCGCAAGGCUAAAACUCAAAGGAAUUGACGGGGGCCCGCACAAGCGGCGGAGCAUGCGGAUUAAUUCGAUGCAACGCGAAGAACCUUACCAAGGCUUGACAUGUACGAGAAAGCCCCAGAGAUGGGGUUCUCUUUGGACACUCGUACACAGGUGGUGCAUGGUUGUCGUCAGCUCGUGUCGUGAGAUGUUGGGUUAAGUCCCGCAACGAGCGCAACCCUUAUCCUAUGUUGCCAGCGGGUUAUGCCGGGGACUCAUGGGAGACUGCCGGGGUCAACUCGGAGGAAGGUGGGGAUGACGUCAAAUCAUCAUGCCCCUUAUGUCUUGGGCUUCACGCAUGCUACAAUGGCCGGUACAGAGGGCUGCGAUACCGUGAGGUGGAGCGAAUCCCAAAAAGCCGGUCUCAGUUCGGAUCGGGGUCUGCAACUCGACCCCGUGAAGUCGGAGUCGCUAGUAAUCGCAGAUCAGCAACGCUGCGGUGAAUACGUUCCCGGGCCUUGUACACACCGCCCGUCAAGUCACGAAAGU